AACGCGAAGAACCUUACCUGGCCUUGACAUGUCUGGAAGACCGUAGAGAUAUGGUUGUGCCCGAAAGGGAACCAGAACACAGGUGCUGCAUGGCUGUCGUCAGCUCGUGUCGUGAGAUGUUGGGUUAAGUCCCGCAACGAGCGCAACCCUUGUCCUUAGUUGCCAGCACUUCGGGUGGGCACUCUAAGGAGACCGCCGGUGACAAACCGGAGGAAGGUGGGGAUGACGUCAAGUCAUCAUGGCCUUUAUGGCCAGGGCUACACACGUGCUACAAUGGCCGGUACAAAGGGUUGCCAACUCGCAAGAGGGAGCCAAUCCCAUAAAGCCGGUCGUAGUCCGGAUCGGAGUCUGCAACUCGACUCCGUGAAGUCGGAAUCGCUAGUAAUCGCAGAUCAGCAUUGCUGCGGUGAAUACGUUCCCGGGCCUUGUACACACCGCACGA
This 442-nucleotide ribosomal RNA is filed under the name uncultured bacterium. Its description in RNAcentral is "bacterial SSU rRNA". It matches the Rfam family "Bacterial small subunit ribosomal RNA", at positions 958 to 1397 of the family's 1533-position model. The record is from RNAcentral.